UGACUCCYUGAGAGUCCUGAAGGAACGUUGAAGACGACGACGUUGAUAGGCCGGGUGUGUAAGCGCAGCGAUGCGUUGAGCUAACCGGUACUAAUGAACCGUGAGGCUUAACCUUACAACGCCGAAG
This 127-nucleotide ribosomal RNA is filed under the name Escherichia coli. Its description in RNAcentral is "partial 23S ribosomal RNA". It matches the Rfam family "Bacterial large subunit ribosomal RNA", at positions 2808 to 2925 of the family's 2925-position model. Lineage: Bacteria; Pseudomonadati; Pseudomonadota; Gammaproteobacteria; Enterobacterales; Enterobacteriaceae. The record is from RNAcentral.